This 496-nucleotide ribosomal RNA is filed under the name uncultured bacterium. RNAcentral's name for it is "partial 16S ribosomal RNA". It matches the Rfam family "Bacterial small subunit ribosomal RNA", at positions 29 to 507 of the family's 1533-position model. The record is from RNAcentral.
AUGCACGCUGGCGGCGUGCCUCAUCCAUGCAAGUCGAGCGAACAGACGAGGAGCUUGCUCCUCUGACGUUAGCGGCGGACGGGUGAGUAACACGUGGAUAACCUACCUAUAAGACUGGGAUAACUUCGGGAAACCGGAGCUAAUACCGGAUAAUAUAUUGAACCGCAUGGUUCAAUAGUGAAAGACGGUUUUGCUGUCACUUAUAGAUGGAUCCGCGCCGCAUUAGCUAGUUGGUAAGGUAACGGCUUACCAAGGCAACGAUGCGUAGCCGACCUGAGAGGGUGAUCGGCCACACUGGAACUGAGACACGGUCCAGACUCCUACGGGAGGCAGCAGUAGGGAAUCUUCCGCAAUGGGCGAAAGCCUGACGGAGCAACGCCGCGUGAGUGAUGAAGGUCUUCGGAUCGUAAAACUCUGUUAUUAGGGAAGAACAAAUGUGUAAGUAACUAUGCACGUCUUGACGGUACCUAAUCAGAAAGCCACGGCUAACUACGUG